ACUAAUUCUAGCCCCAACACCCAUACAUCUAAUUAUACAACACAAUAAAUCAAAACAUUUACCCAAAUAAAAGUAUUGGAGAAAGAAAUUUACAUUAAGGAGCUAUAGAGUUAGUACCGCAAGGGAAAGAUGAAAGACCAAUUUAUAGUACAAAUAAGCAAAGAUAAAACCUUGUACCUUUUGCAUAAUGAAUUAACUAGAAACCUUUUGACUAAGGGAACUAAAGCCAAAGAUCCCGAAACCAAACGAGCUACCUAAAAACAAUUUUACGAAUCAACCCGUCUAUGUAGCAAAAUAGUGGGAAGAUUUUUAGGUAGAGGUGAAAAGCCAAACGAGCUUGGUGAUAGCUGGUAACCCAGAAAAUGAAUUUUAGUUCAAUUUUAAAUUUACCAAAAGAAUAAAAAAUCUAUAUGUAAAUUUAAAUUAUAGCCAAAAGAGGGACAGCUCUUUAGGAAUUGGAAAAAAACCUUUAAUAGUGAAUAAACAAAUACAAAUUAACCAUUGUUGGCCUAAAAGCAGCCACCAAUAAAGAAAGCGUUCAAGCUCAACAUAAUAAGCACUCUAAUCCCUAAAUUAUAAUAAUUUCCUAAACUAUAAACUGGGUUAUUCUAUAAAUUUAUAGAAGAAACACUGUUAAUAUGAGUAACAAGAACUUAUUCUCCAAGCACAAGUGUAUAACAACCCGGAUAACCAUUGUUAGUUAUCAGAUUAUAGAUAUUACCCCUCAAAUAAAUUUAUCUAAAAACUAUCUGUUAAUCCAACACAGGAGUGCAACAAGGAAAGAUUAACCAAAAUAAAAGGAACUCGGCAAACCAAAACCCCGCCUGUUUACCAAAAACAUCACCUCUAGCAUUACAAGUAUUAGAGGCAUUGCCUGCCCAGUGACUAUAGUUUAACGGCCGCGGUAUCCUGACCGUGCAAAGGUAGCAUAAUCAUUUGUUCCUUAAUUAGGGACUAGUAUGAACGGCUAGACGAGGGUUUGACUGUCUCUUAUUUUUGAUCAGUGAAAUUGACCUUCCAGUGAAGAGGCUGGAAUCUUAAAAUAAGACGAGAAGACCCUAUGGAGCUUAAAUUAACAAGCUUAAUUAUUAUAUCAACAUCCUAAUGGACUAAAACAAAAAAUAUAAGCUUAAAAUUUUGGUUGGGGUGACCUCGGAGAACAAAAAAUCCUCCGAACGAUUAUAACAUAGACCAACAAGUCAAAGUAACUAACUUAUCCAAUUGACCCAAAACAAUUUGAUCAACGGACCAAGUUACCCUAGGGAUAACAGCGCAAUCCUAUUUAAGAGUCCAUAUCGACAAUAGGGUUUACGACCUCGAUGUUGGAUCAGGACAUCCCAAUGGUGCAGAAGCUAUUAAUGGUUCGUUUGUUCAACGAUUAAAGUCCUACGUGAUCUGAGUUCAGACCGGAGAAAUCCAGGUCGGUUUCUAUCUAUUAACAAUUUCUCCCAGUACGAAAGGAUAAGAGAAAUAGAGCCACCUUUAUAGAAGUGCUCUAAAUUAAAUUUAUGAAUAAAUCUAAAUAAAAAUUUUCUGUAAAUUUCUUACCUAGACAAGGUU
This 1560-nucleotide ribosomal RNA is filed under the name Hylomyscus aeta (Beaded wood mouse). RNAcentral describes it as "16S ribosomal RNA". It matches the Rfam family "Bacterial large subunit ribosomal RNA". Lineage: Eukaryota; Metazoa; Chordata; Mammalia; Rodentia; Muridae. The record is from RNAcentral.